CCCGACUGCUAUUUGGGUGAGAAUAAGCCAUGCAAGUCGAAUGGAAUACCAAAAUAUUCCAUGGCAAACUGCUCAAUAACACGUGAUCAACUUACCCUAUGGAAAACAAUAACCUCUGGAAACGGAGGAUAAUGGUUUAUAGUUGAAAAGGCUUGGAAAAGUUUUUCAAUAAAAGGGAAUAAUAAAAAUGGUUAUUAUUUUGCCAUAGGAUAGGAUUGCGGUCGAUUAUGGCUGUUGGUGAGGUAAUGGCUCACCAAACCAAUAAUCGAUAGGGGCCGUGAGAGCGGGAGCCCCGAGAUGGGUACUGAGACAACGACCCAGGCCUUACGAGGUGCAGCAGGCGCGAAAACUCCGCAAUACACGAAAGUGUGACGGGGUUACCCAAAGUGCUUAAUUUUUAAGCUGUGGUAAGUGUGUGAUGUACCUUACUAGAAAGGAGAGGGCAAGGCUGGUGCCAGCCGCCGCGGUAAAACCAGCUCUUCAAGUGGGUCGGGAUAUUAUUGGGCUUAAAGUGUCCGUAGCUUGUAUAAUAAGUUCCUGGUAAAAUCUAAUAGCUUAACUAUUAGUAUGCUAGGAAUACUGUUAUACUAGAGGGCGGGAGAGGUUUGAGGUACUUCAGGGGUAGGGGUGAAAUCCUAUAAUCCGUGAAGGACCACCAGUGGCGAAGGCGUCAGACUGGAACGCGCCUGACAGUGAGGGACGAAAGCCAGGGGAGCGAACCGGAUUAGAUACCCGGGUAGUCCUGGCCGUAAACGAUGCACACUAGGUGUUGGUAUGGCUAUGAGCCAUAUCAGUGCCGAAGGGAAACCAUUAAGUGUGCCGCCUGGGAAGUACGGUCGCAAGGUUAAAACUUAAAGGAAUUGGCGGGGGAGCACCACAAGGGGUGAAGCCUGCGGUUCA
RNAcentral lists this ribosomal RNA (900 nucleotides) under uncultured archaeon. RNAcentral's name for it is "bacterial SSU rRNA". It matches the Rfam family "Archaeal small subunit ribosomal RNA", at positions 21 to 904 of the family's 1478-position model. The record is from RNAcentral.